Molecule: ribosomal RNA, 476 nt
Filed under: uncultured anaerobic ammonium-oxidizing bacterium
Lineage: Bacteria
Description: bacterial SSU rRNA
Rfam family: Bacterial small subunit ribosomal RNA
Source: RNAcentral
UUCGCAAUGCCCGAAAGGGUGACGAAGCGACGCCGCGUGGGUGAGGAAGGCCCUAGGGUUGUAAAGCUCUGUCGAGGGUUAUGAAAUAUAGAUGGGUUAAUACCCCAUUUAUUUGACAAAAGCCCAAAAGGAAGCCACGGCUAACUCUGUGCCAGCAGCCGCGGUAAUACAGAGGUGGCGAGCGUUGUUCGGUAUUAUUGGGCGUAAAGAGCACGUAGGUGGUUUUGUAAGUCAGGUGUGAAAGCCUUCUGUUCAAAGGAAGAACGGCAUCUGAAACUGCAGAUCUUGAGUGUAGGAGGGGAGAGUGGAACUUCUGGUGGAGCGGUGAAAUGCGUAGAUAUCAGAAGGAACGUCGGCGGCGAAAGCGACUCUCUGGCCUAUUACUGACACUGAGGUGCGAAAGUUAGGGGAGCAAACGGGAUUAGAUACCCCGGUAGUCCUAACCGUAAACGAUGGGCACUAAGUAGAGGGGUUUU